GAUCGAGCCAGACCAGCCCUGCUCCGAUGCGGCUCGCAGACCACCCGAUGUAAUUUUUGUUUGGUUUAUUAUUAGGUUGCCUGUUUCUUUUUGAUCGUGGGGAUCCGGGUAUCCCGCCGUGUUUCUGGGAACUGCCUCCGCGAAGCCCUCCUAGCUCGCCAGAUCCGGCGACCUCUGGCUCCUCACCGCUGCCGCCAUGGAGAUCCCGCGUCUCCGCGCCCUUGUCACCUCCUGCUCGCCAACCCACGGCGACCCAGCUCCCCCACUUCAAUUCCUUCUCCUCCCUUGCCGGCGUUCCCGAAUUCCAGGCGGCGCGCGUGGCAAGCCCCGAGGUAAGCUGUGCGCGGGGCGAUUCCCGGUGGAUGGAAACGCGUCGAAGAGCUCGCACGCGCGGCGUUUCUAUGGCGAUUCCGUCAUCGCUGCUCCAUCUGUCCACUAUCCUCGGCGUCCUUUUCAACACCGCCGCCCCAGUUAUAGGUCCUUUCUUCGGCUUCAGCCCCUGGGGAAUUUUUGUGUGGUGGUUCAUGUAUCCUCUUGCAAGGAACAGGAGGGUUGUGCAUCAGGUCACGAGAGCUCUCUCCAACCUAGUGGAUCGUCUCUUCAACAUGAGCAUUCAUAAUUAUGGAGAAGAUGCCGUUCAAAUUUGGACAGGCAGAAAGCACACUGAAGUUCUGAUGGCACAGUUUGGCAAUGUAUCGAUAUUUCUUUUAGCUCGAUGUCAUAGGAAAAUUCUUCAGAGCAACAUAGUAUUAGGCGACCAAGGUGGAAGUACUGCUCUGUGCUGCAGGUGGUGGCACAUGGUGGCUGUGCCAGCACCACGGAUAAUGCUAGGCAUACUACACUCGCAGCUUCGGCGGUUGGUGCCAUCUGUUCGCAUGGCUGGUAGUCUCAUUGGCCAGAGUUUUGACAACAAGUGGUGGGGGAUUCAAUGGCGAGUGGGUGGACUCGGAUGCGAGUGGUGUGGCAGGUUCCCUUCAUGCUGCCGGUGUUCUACACCGGAGAAGAUGUCCCGGUUGGCCUCAACCUCGAAAGGCGAGCAUGUACCUCUUGCCGCACUCCACCCACAAGAGUCAACAAGCCAUGGUGGGAUCGGGCAACAAAUUGGGGGACGGAAGAAGAUAUAUGCAUAGGACUUGGAGACAAAGAGGAAGUAUCUGACGGCAAUAUUGCGCAGAUGAGAAAAUGUGUGUUGUUUGUAUUCAUGUUGUACCUAGCCUUUUGUCACCUGAGGUGAGCUCAAGCCUGAAUCCACGUUUGGAGAAUUGAGACUUAUUUACGGAGGUGCCUACAAGGUUUGAGGACACGACGAAGGACUUUAUUACUGAACAUGGGCGUCGAUACAGUCCUUAGUACUUGUAUUGAGCCUUUUCUAAUUUUUAUGUGUUCGGCACAUUGAUUGUGAGGCGGCUGUGUGCAUCUUGAUUAUACAGAGGCUGGGUGUAUUUCUUAAACCUUUUAAGUAAUAAUGAAGCACCUUUUAUCAAAAAAAAAAUAUAUAUUGCCUUGGCAA
This is a non-coding RNA of Lolium perenne, 1510 nucleotides long. NCBI's taxonomy places the organism in Eukaryota, Viridiplantae, Streptophyta, Magnoliopsida, Poales, Poaceae. The record is from RefSeq and is a predicted model, not a curated record.